This 689-nucleotide ribosomal RNA is filed under the name uncultured bacterium. Its description in RNAcentral is "bacterial SSU rRNA". It matches the Rfam family "Bacterial small subunit ribosomal RNA", at positions 94 to 765 of the family's 1533-position model. The record is from RNAcentral.
AGUGGCGGACGGGUGAGUAACGCGUGGGUAACCUACCUGUAAGCGGGGGAUAACAGUUGGAAACGACUGCUAAUACCGCAUAAGUUUCCUUAUUAAGUUGAGGAAGUAAAGAUGGCCUCUUAACAAUGCUGUCACUUACAGAUGGGCCCGCGUCUGAUUAGCUAGUUGGUGGGGUAAAGGCCUACCAAGGCGACGAUCAGUAGCCGGCCUGAGAGGGUGGACGGCCACACUGGGACUGAGACACGGCCCAGACUCCUACGGGAGGCAGCAGUGGGGAAUAUUGCGCAAUGGGGGAAACCCUGACGCAGCGACGCCGCGUGAGCGAAGAAGGCCUUAGGGUCGUAAAGCUCUGUUUUAAGGGACGAAGUCUCUCUUGGGUAAUAUACGAGAGAGGUGACGGUACCUUAAGAGAAAGCCCCGGCUAACUACGUGCCAGCAGCCGCGGUAAGACGUAGGGGGCGAGCGUUGUCCGGAAUUACUGGGCGUAAAGAGCACGUAGGCGGAUAUUUAAGUCAGGUGUGAAAGACCGCAGCCUAACUGCGGGGUUGCACUUGAAACUGGAUAUCUUGAGGGCAGGAGAGGUCAGUAGAAUUCCUGGUGUAGCGGUGAAAUGCGUAGAAAUCACGAGGAAUACCAGUGGCGAAGCGGCUGACUGGACUGGCCCUGACGCUGAGGUGCGAAAGCGUGGG